This 253-nucleotide ribosomal RNA is filed under the name uncultured bacterium. RNAcentral describes it as "partial 16S ribosomal RNA". It matches the Rfam family "Bacterial small subunit ribosomal RNA", at positions 524 to 776 of the family's 1533-position model. The record is from RNAcentral.
UACGAAGGGUGCAAGCGUUACUCGGAAUUACUGGGCGUAAAGCGUGCGUAGGUGGUGAGUUAAGUCUGUCGUGAAAGCCCCGGGCUCAACCUGGGAAUGGCGAUGGAUACUGGCUCGCUAGAGUGCGGUAGAGGAGAGUGGAAUUCCCGGUGUAGCAGUGAAAUGCGUAGAGAUCGGGAGGAACAUCAGUUGCGAAGGCGGCUCACUGGCCCGGAACUGACGCUGAGGUGCGAAAGCGUGGGGAGCAAACAGG